Molecule: ribosomal RNA, 381 nt
Filed under: uncultured bacterium
Lineage: Bacteria
Description: bacterial SSU rRNA
Rfam family: Bacterial small subunit ribosomal RNA
Source: RNAcentral
CGCUGGCGGCGGGCUUAACACAUGCAAGUCGAACGAGAAAGGUUCUUCGGAACUGAGUAAAGUGGCGCACGGGUGAGUAACGCGUAGGCAACCUGCCCCUAGAUUUGGAAUAACUCCGGGAAACCGAAGCUAAUACCGAAUAACGUCUCUUGAUCGCAUGAUCAGGAGACCAAAACUCCGGUGUCUAGGGAUGGGCCUGCGUAAGAUUAGGUAGUUGGUGAGGUAACGGCUCACCAAGCCGACGAUCUUUAGCUGGUCUGAGAGGAUGAUCAGCCACACUGGCACUGAGACACGGGCCAGACUCCUACGGGAGGCAGCAGUGAGGAAUAUUGCGCAAUGGGGGAAACCCUGACGCAGCCACGCCGCGUGGUGGAUGACACC